CCAGCUUUGGCGCAAUUGGUUAGCGUGUUUGGCUGUUAACUGAAAGGAUGGUGGUUCGAGCCCACCCAGGGA
RNAcentral lists this transfer RNA (72 nucleotides) under Perca fluviatilis (European perch). RNAcentral's name for it is "tRNA-Asn". The stretch from base 8 to 66 matches the Rfam family "tRNA", at positions 8 to 63 of the family's 71-position model. From Rfam's summary of the family: Transfer RNA (tRNA) molecules are approximately 80 nucleotides in length. Their secondary structure includes four short double-helical elements and three loops (D, anti-codon, and T loops). Lineage: Eukaryota; Metazoa; Chordata; Actinopteri; Perciformes; Percidae. The record is from RNAcentral.